Molecule: ribosomal RNA, 387 nt
Filed under: uncultured bacterium
Lineage: Bacteria
Description: bacterial SSU rRNA
Rfam family: Bacterial small subunit ribosomal RNA
Source: RNAcentral
GACGAACGCUGGCGGCGUGCUUAACACAUGCAAGUCGAACGGUGAACCCCUUCGGGGGGAGUCAGUGGCGAACGGGUGAGUAACACGUGAGCAACCUGCCCCUGACUCUGGGAUAACCCCGGGAAACCGGAGCUAAUACCGGAUAUGACACCUUCGGGCAUCCGAUGGGUGUGGAAAGAUUUAUCGGUUGGGGAUGGGCUCGCGGCCUAUCAGCUUGUUGGUGGGGUGAUGGCCUACCAAGGCGACGACGGGUAGCCGGCCUGAGAGGGCGACCGGCCACACUGGGACUGAGACACGGCCCAGACUCCUACGGGAGGCAGCAGUGGGGAAUAUUGCACAAUGGGCGAAAGCCUGACGCAGCGACGCCGCGUGAGGGAUGAAGGCCUU